This 73-nucleotide transfer RNA is filed under the name Minisyncoccota bacterium. Its description in RNAcentral is "tRNA-Thr". It matches the Rfam family "tRNA". From Rfam's summary of the family: Transfer RNA (tRNA) molecules are approximately 80 nucleotides in length. Their secondary structure includes four short double-helical elements and three loops (D, anti-codon, and T loops). The record is from RNAcentral. Lineage: Bacteria; Bacillati; Minisyncoccota.
GCCGUUGUAGCUCAGUUGGUAGAGCGCGUUCAUGGUAAGAACGAGGUCAUCGGUUCGAUCCCGAUCAAUGGCU